This 253-nucleotide ribosomal RNA is filed under the name uncultured bacterium. Its description in RNAcentral is "partial 16S ribosomal RNA". It matches the Rfam family "Bacterial small subunit ribosomal RNA", at positions 524 to 776 of the family's 1533-position model. The record is from RNAcentral.
UACGUAGGGGGCAAGCGUUGUCCGGAAUCAUUGGGCGUAAAGCGCGCGUAGGCGGCCCGGUAAGUCCGUUGUGAAAGUCAAAGGCUCAACCUUUGAAUGCCGAUGGAUACUGCCGGGCUCGAGUCCGGAAGAGGCGAGUGGAAUUCCUGGUGUAGCGGUGGAAUGCGCAGAUAUCAGGAGGAACACCGAUAGCGAAGGCAGCUCGCUGGGACGGUACUGACGCUGAGGCGCGAAAGCGUGGGGAGCGAACAGG